Molecule: ribosomal RNA, 497 nt
Filed under: uncultured bacterium
Lineage: Bacteria
Description: partial 16S ribosomal RNA
Rfam family: Bacterial small subunit ribosomal RNA
Source: RNAcentral
GAUGAACGCUGGCGGCGUGCCUAAUACAUGCAAGUCGAGCGAACGGACGAGAAGCUUGCUUCUCUGAUGUUAGCGGCGGACGGGUGAGUAACACGUGGAUAACCUACCUAUAAGACUGGGAUAACUUCGGGAAACCGGAGCUAAUACCGGAUAAUAUUUUGAACCGCAUGGUUCAAAAGUGAAAGACGGUCUUGCUGUCACUUAUAGAUGGAUCCGCGCUGCAUUAGCUAGUUGGUAAGGUAACGGCUUACCAAGGCAACGAUGCGUAGCCGACCUGCGAGGGUGAGCGGCCGCACUGGAACGGAGACACGGUCCAGACUCCUACGGGAGGCAGCAGUAGGGAAUCUGCCGCAAUGGGCGAAAGCCUGACGGAGCAACGCCGCGUGAGUGAUGAAGGUCUUCGGAUCGUAAAACUCUGUUAUUAGGGAAGAACAUAUGUGUAAGUAACUGUGCACAUCUUGACGGUACCUAAUCAGAAAGCCACGGCUAACUACGUG